CGUCUAGGCGGGGGAUUAAGUUAGGUGUGAAAUCCCUGGGCUCAACCCAGGAACUGCAUCUAAAACUGGUUCUCUUGAGUUCGGGAGAGGAGAGCGGAAUUCCCGGUGUAGCGGUGAAAUGCGUAGAUAUCGGGAAGAACACCAGUGGCGAAGGCGGCUCUCUGGCCUAGAACUGACGCUGAAGCGCGAAAGCGUGGGGAGCGAACG
RNAcentral lists this ribosomal RNA (207 nucleotides) under uncultured bacterium. Its description in RNAcentral is "partial 16S ribosomal RNA". It matches the Rfam family "Bacterial small subunit ribosomal RNA", at positions 568 to 774 of the family's 1533-position model. The record is from RNAcentral.